This 492-nucleotide ribosomal RNA is filed under the name Triticum aestivum (bread wheat). RNAcentral describes it as "partial small subunit ribosomal RNA". The record is from RNAcentral. Lineage: Eukaryota; Viridiplantae; Streptophyta; Magnoliopsida; Poales; Poaceae.
AUGAGCUAUGAUGAGCGGUACACACCUUAUGUUAGGGAGGCAGGACUUCUCCCUUUCAUUGAGUUAGUCCGCCGGUCGACGCCACCCAACAAUGCUGCAGCACUCACCACGCUUAUUGAUCAUUGGAGGCCGGAGACACACACUUUCCAUCUUCGGACCGGGGAGAUGACCGUGACGCUACAGGAUAUCGCUAUGAUCACCGGUCUUCCUAUCGAUGGCAAUCCUUUAUGUAUGAACACCGAUUCUGAAGGGUGGCGCGCGCAGAUGCAAGCCCUUAUCGGUAUGGUUCCUCCGGAGCCUCGGGAGCCAGAAAGGGAAGAUAAGAAGAAGGAAAGAGUCGCAGCGAGCGCUACUUUCACGUGGAUAUCAUCGCACUUCGCUCAUUGCCCCGAUGAUGCUAAUGAGGACAUGGUGAAGACUUAUGCUCGUGUCUACAUGUGGUACGUGGUAUCGAGGACAAUGUUUGCUGAUGGCUUUCACAAGGUCAAUGAC